RNAcentral lists this ribosomal RNA (335 nucleotides) under uncultured Planctomycetales bacterium. Its description in RNAcentral is "bacterial SSU rRNA". It matches the Rfam family "Bacterial small subunit ribosomal RNA", at positions 473 to 806 of the family's 1533-position model. Lineage: Bacteria; Pseudomonadati; Planctomycetota; Planctomycetia; Planctomycetales. The record is from RNAcentral.
CUAAGGCUCCGGAGGAAGCCACGGCUAACUCUGUGCCAGCAGCCGCGGUAAUACAGAGGCGGCAAGCGUUGUUCGGAAUUAUUGGGCGUAAAGAGCACGUAGGCGGCCGUGUAAGUCGGUUGUGAAAGCCUUCCGCUCAACGGGAGAACGGCAUCCGAUACUGCAUGGCUCGAGUGCGGGAGGGGAGAGUGGAACUUCUGGUGGAGCGGUGAAAUGCGUAGAUAUCAGAAGGAACACCGGCGGCGAAGGCGACUCUCUGGCCCGUAACUGACGCUGAGUGUGCGAAAGCUAGGGGAGCAAACGGGAUUAGAUACCCCGGUAGUCCUAGCCGUAAA